GCUUGCAUGUCUGCCAAACAUCUUGCAAGAGCAGCUCUCUCGGCGGCCUCCAUCCACUCCCUCACCUUCGGCACCGCUCUGCCCAGCCCCACCCCGCCAUGGAGCCUGUUUUCUUAAGAAUCACCGAGGACGUCAUCCAGAGACCAUUUCACAAUCUCAUCCUCAGCUUCCGACACUGUUGAAUGGAGACCGCUGAGCCAGGCACUGUCAGAAUGUAAGCUCAGGAGGUAGCUUCGUCUUGGUAACUGAUGGAUUCUGAGUAAAUACCUGGCACACAGUAGAUGCUCAAUAUUUGCUGGAUGAAGAUGAAUCAACGUUGGCGUCCCACGUGUUGUGGCUCCUGACGCGGCGGGCAGAUGGACCUGGUUCCUUCCGUAACAAGGGAGUGAGCAAAGCUCUACAAGAACAGAAAUCCCAGUGUCAGGACUGCCUGGUAGGUGCAGUUGAGGAAACCAGUGCUGCCGUCCCAGA
Lagenorhynchus albirostris (white-beaked dolphin) is the source of this 471-nucleotide long non-coding RNA. RefSeq lists it as uncharacterized. The transcript is spliced from 4 exons. Lineage: Eukaryota; Metazoa; Chordata; Mammalia; Artiodactyla; Delphinidae. The record is from RefSeq and is a predicted model, not a curated record.